UGAACGCUGGCGGCGUGCUUAACACAUGCAAGUCGAACGCUGAAGCUCCCAGCUUGCUGGGGGUGGAUGAGUGGCGAACGGGUGAGUAUCACGUGAGUAACCUGCCCUUGACUCUGGGAUAAGCCCGGGAAACUGGGUCUAAUACUGGAUAGGACUGGCCAUCGCAUGGUGGUUGGUUGAAAGCUUUUGCGGUUUUGGAUGGACUCGCGGCCUAUCAGCUUGUUGGUGGGGUAAUGGCCUACCAAGGCUUUGACGGGUAGCCGGCCUGAGAGGGUGACCGGCCACACUGGGACUGAGACACGGCCCAGACUCCUACGGGAGGCAGCAGUGGGGGAUAUUGCACAAUGGGCGCAAGCCUGAAUGCAGCGACGCCGCGUGAGGGAUGACGGCCUUCGGGUUGUAAACCUCUUUCAGUUGGGAAGAAGCCUUUCGGGGUGACGGUACCUUCAGAAGAAGCACCGGCUAACUACGUGCCAGCCGCAGC
This 484-nucleotide ribosomal RNA is filed under the name uncultured bacterium. RNAcentral describes it as "bacterial SSU rRNA". It matches the Rfam family "Bacterial small subunit ribosomal RNA", at positions 30 to 518 of the family's 1533-position model. The record is from RNAcentral.